Molecule: ribosomal RNA, 394 nt
Filed under: uncultured bacterium
Lineage: Bacteria
Description: bacterial SSU rRNA
Rfam family: Bacterial small subunit ribosomal RNA
Source: RNAcentral
GCAAGUCGAACGAAGUAGCAAUACUUAGUGGCAGACGGGUGAGUAACAUGUAGGUAUCUGCCCUUUGGCCUGGAAUAACACGAGGAAACUUGUGCUAAUACCGGAUAAGUCUUUACGGAGAAAGCUUUAUGCACCAUUGGAUGAGCCUGCACUUGAUUAGUUUGUUGGUAGGGUAAUGGCCUACCAAGACUGUGAUCAAUAGCUGAUUUGAGAGGAUGAUCAGCCACAUUGGGACUGAGACACGGCCCAAACUCCUACGGGAGGCAGCAGUGGGGAAUCUUGCACAAUGGAGGAAACUCUGAUGCAGCGAUGCCGCGUGAGUGAAGAAGGCCCUUGGGUUGUAAAGCUCUUUCGUCGGGGAAGAAAAUGACUGUACCCGAAUAAGAAGGUCCGG